RNAcentral lists this ribosomal RNA (600 nucleotides) under uncultured bacterium. Its description in RNAcentral is "bacterial SSU rRNA". It matches the Rfam family "Bacterial small subunit ribosomal RNA", at positions 740 to 1341 of the family's 1533-position model. The record is from RNAcentral.
CUGACGCUGAGGCACGAAAGCGUGGGUAGCAAACAGGAUUAGAUACCCUGGUAGUCCACGCUGUAAACGAUGAUUACUAGGUGUGGGGGGACUGACCCCUUCCGUGCCGGAGUUAACACAAUAAGUAAUCCACCUGGGGAGUACGGCCGCAAGGUUGAAACUCAAAGGAGUUGACGGGGGCCCGCACAAGCAGUGGAGUAUGUGGUUUAAUUCGAAGCAACGCGAAGAACCUUACCAGGUCUUGACAUCCUGUUGACCGUUCCUUAGUCGGAACUUCUCUUCGGAGCAACAGAGACAGGUGGUGCAUGGUUGUCGUCAGCUCGUGUCGUGAGAUGUUGGGUUAAGUCCCGCAACGAGCGCAACCCUUGUCCUUAGUAGCCAGCAUUCAGGUGGGCACUCUAGGGAGACUGCCGGAGACAAUCCGGAGGAAGGUGGGGAUGACGUCAAAUCAUCAUGCCCCUUAUGACUUGGGCUACACACGUGCUACAAUGGACGGAUCAGAGGGAAGCGAACCCGCGAGGGGGAGCGGAACCCAUAAACCCGUUCUCAGUUCGGACUGCAGCCUGCAACCCGGCUGCACGAAGCUGGAAUCGCUAGUAA